UAUCGGUACAGGUGCUGAGUGUCGGUACAGGUGCUGAGUGUCGGUACAGGUGCUGAGUGUCGGUAUAGGUUCUGAGUGUCGGUACAGGUUCUGAGUGUCAGUACAGGUGCUGAGUGUCGGUACAGGUGCUGAGUGUCGGUACAGGUGCUGAGUGUAGGUACAGGUGCUUUGUUUAGGUACAGGUGCUUAGUGUAGGUACAGGUGCUGAGUGUCAGUACAGGUGCUGAGUGUAGGUACAGGUGCUGAGUGUAGGUACAGGUGCUGAGUAUAGGUACAGGUAUAGGUGCUGAGUGUCGGUACAGGUACAGGUGCUGAGUAGGUACAGGUGCUGAGUUUACGUACAGGCACAGGUGCUGAGUGUCGGUACAGGUACAGGUGCUGAGUAGGUACAGGUGCUGAGUGUAGGUACAGGUAUAGGUGCUGAGUGUCGGUACAGGUACAUGUGCUGAGUGUAGGUACAGGUACCGAGUAGGUACAGGUGCUGAGUGUUGGUACAGGUGCUUAGUGUCAGUACAGGUGCUGAGUGUCGGUACAGGUGCUGAGUGUAGGUACAGGUGUUCAGUGUAGGUACAGGUGCUGAGUGUCAGUACAGGUGCUGAGUGUAGGUACAGGUGCUGAGUGUAGGUACAGGUGCUGAGUAUAGGUACAGGUAUAGGUGCUGAGUGUCGGUACAGGUACAGGUGCUGAGUAGGUACAGGUGCUGAGUUUACGUACAGGCACAGGUGCUGAGUGUGGGUACAGGUACAGGUGCUGAGUAGGUACAGGUGCUGAGUGUAGGUACAGGUAUAGGUGCUGAGUGUCGGUACAGGUAUAGGUGCUGAGUGUCGGUACAGGUACAGGUGCUGAGUGUAGGUACAGGUACAGGUGCUGAGUGUCAGUACAGGUACAGGUGCUGAGUAGGUACAGGUGCUGAGUGUAGGUACAGGUAUAGGUGCUGAGUGUCGGUACAGGUACAGGUGCUGAGUGUAGGUACAGGUGCUGAGUUCCGGUACAAGUGCUGAGUGUCGGUACAGGUGCUGAGUUCCGGUACUGGUGCUGAGUGUCGGUACAGGCGCUGAGUUCCGGUACUGGUGCUGAGUGUCGGUACAGGUGCUGAGUGUCGGUACAGGUGCUGAGUUCUGGUGCUGAGUGUCGGUGCAGGUGCUGAGUUCCGGUACUGGUGCUGAGUGUCGGUACAGGCGCUGAGUUCUGGUGCUGAGUGUCGGUACAGGUGCUGAGCGUCGGUACAGGUGCUGAGUUCCGGUACUGGUGCUGAGUGUCAGUACAGGUGCUGAGUUCCGGUACUGGUGCUGAGUUCCGGUACGGUGCUGAGCGUCGGUACAGGUGCUGAGUUCCGGUACUGGUGCUGAGUGUCGGUACAGGUGCUGGUUUCCGGUACUGGUGCUGAGUGUCGGUACAGGUGCUGGUUUCCGGUACUGGUGCUGAGUGUCGGUACAGGUGCUGAGUUCCGGUACUGGUGCUGAGUGUUGGUACAGGUGCUGAGUUCCGGUACUGAGUGUCGGUACAGGCGCUGAGUUCCGGUACAGGGUGGAGAGAGUCUGCCGUGAAGGUAUUUGUCCUUCUACCAUUGUGUGUACUUUAAAUACCUCUUCUAAUGCUUAUUUCUAUGGCUGCUAUCUAUUUUCCCUUGCAUUCACUGCUACAAUAAAACAAUUUAGAUGUUUACAAUAGGAUAAUAAUCAUAGAUACACUGAGUACACAAAACAUUAAGAACACUGCUCUUUC
RNAcentral lists this long non-coding RNA (1725 nucleotides) under Salmo salar (Atlantic salmon). RNAcentral describes it as "lncRNA (ENSSSAG00000092397.1)". Lineage: Eukaryota; Metazoa; Chordata; Actinopteri; Salmoniformes; Salmonidae. The record is from RNAcentral.